Molecule: ribosomal RNA, 729 nt
Filed under: Bacillus licheniformis
Lineage: Bacteria; Bacillati; Bacillota; Bacilli; Caryophanales; Bacillaceae
Description: partial 16S ribosomal RNA
Rfam family: Bacterial small subunit ribosomal RNA
Source: RNAcentral
GGGCCUGGCGGCUGCUAUACAUGCAAGUCGAGCGGACCGACGGGAGCUUGCUCCCUUAGGUCAGCGGCGGACGGGUGAGUAACACGUGGGUAACCUGCCUGUAAGACUGGGAUAACUCCGGGAAACCGGGGCUAAUACCGGAUGCUUGAUUGAACCGCAUGGUUCCAUUCUUAAAAGGGGGUUUUAACCUCCCCUUUCCAAAGGGCCCCCCGGCCCUUUACCUAUUGGGGGAGGUACCGGCCCCCCAAGGCAACAAGCCUUACCCAACCGAAAAGGGGGACCGGCCCCCUGGGAAUGAAAACCCGGCCCAAAUCCCUCCGGAAGGCACCAUUAGGAAUCCUCCCCCAUGGAACAAAAUUCGAACGAACCACCCCCCCUGGAUUGAGAAAGGUUUCCGAACCUAAAACUUCGGUGGUUAGGAAAAACCAAUUCCCUUCCAAUUAGGGGGGACCCUUGACGUACCCAACCAAAAAGCCACCGGCUAAUUCCGUCCCACCACCCCCGUAAUUCGUUGGUGGAAGCGUUGUCCGGAAUUAUUGGCGUAAAGCGCGCGCGGCGGUUUCUUAAGUCUGAUGUGAAAGCCCCCGGCUCAACCGGGGAGGGUCAUUGGAAACUGGGGAACUUGAGUGCAGAAGAGAGAGUGGAAUUCCACGUGUAGCGGUGAAAUGCGUAGAGAUUGAAGACACAGUUGCGAAGGCAACUCUCUGGUCGUACUUGACCUGAAGCCGA